RNAcentral lists this long non-coding RNA (1467 nucleotides) under Oncorhynchus kisutch (coho salmon). RNAcentral's name for it is "lncRNA (ENSOKIG00005029957.1)". Lineage: Eukaryota; Metazoa; Chordata; Actinopteri; Salmoniformes; Salmonidae. The record is from RNAcentral.
GGGUGUCUCCUGGGGGGGUGUCUCCUGGGGGGGUGUCUCCUGGGGGGGUGUCUCCUGGGGGGGUGUCUCCUGGGGGGGUGUCUCCUGGGGGGGUGUCUCCUGGGGGGGUGUCUCCUGGGGGGGUGUCUCCUGGGGGGGUGUCUCCUGGGGGGGUGUCUCCUGGGGGGGUGUCUCCUGGGGGGGGGUGUCUCCUGGGGGGGGGGGGUCUUCUGGGGGGGGGUCUCUUGGGGAGGAUUGGGGGGGGGGGGGAGGAUUGGGGGGGUCUUCUGGAAGGGUGUCUCUUGGGGAGGAUUGGGAGGGGUGUCUCUUGGGGAGAAUUGGGAGGGGUGUCUUGGGGAGGAUUGGGAGGGGUGUCUUGGGGAGGAUUGGGAGGGGUGUCUUGGGGAGGAUUGGGAGGGGUGUCUUGGGGAGGAUUGGGAGGGGUGUCUUGGGGAGGAUUGGGAGGGGGGGGAGGAUUGGGAGGGGGGGGGGGAUUGGGAGGGGGGGGAGGAUUGGGAGGGGUGUCUCUUGGGGAGGGGGGGAGGAUUGGGAGGGGUGUCUCUUGGGGAGGGGGGGAGGAUUGGGAGGGGUGUCUCUUGGGGAGGAGUGGGAGGGGUGUAUCUUCUGGCCCUGGGGAGGGGGGGGGGGAUUGGGAGGGGUGUAUCUUGGGGAGGAUUGUGUCUUCUGGCCCUGGGGAGGGGGGGGGGGAGGAGGAGAGGGAGUGUCUCCUGGCUGAGGAUAGGGGGGAUUGGGAGGGGUGUCUCUUGGGGAGGAUUGUGUCUUCUGGCCCUGGGGAGGGGGGGGGGAUUGGGAGGGUUGUCUUUUGGCCCUGGGGAGGGGGGGGGGGGAUUGGGAGGGUUGUCUUUUGGCCCUGGGGAGGGGGGGGGGGGGAUUGGGAGGGGUGUCUUUUGGCCCUGGGGGGGGGUGAGUGUCUCCUGGCUGAGGAUGGGGGGGAGGGAUUGGGAGGGUUGUCUUUUGGCCCGGGGGGGGGGGGGGGAAGAAGAGUGUCUCCUGGCUGAGGAUAGGGGGGAUUGGGAGGGGUGUCUCCUGGCUGAGGAUAGGGGGGAUUGGGAGGGGUGUCUCCUGGCUGAGGAUAGGGGGGAUUGGGAGGGGUGUCUCCUGGCUGAGGAUAGGGGGGAUUGGGAGGGGUGUCUCCUGGCUGAGGAUAGGGGGGAUUGGGAGGGGUGUCUCCUGGCUGAGGAUAGGGGGGAUUGGGAGGGGUGUCUCCUGGCUGAGGAUAGGGGGGAUUGGGAGGGGUGUCUCCUGGCUGAGGAUAGGGGGGAUUGGGAGGGGUGUCUCCUGGCUGAGGAUAGGGGGGAUUGGGAGGGGUGUCUUCUGGCCUGGGGGAGGGGGGUGAUUGGGAGGGGUGUCUCCUGGCCUUGGGAGGGGGGGGUCAUGGCUUUUGGUAUUGUAUUUUCUAAACUUUCCCCAGAUCAACCUCUGUUCAGGUUGUGUUUAGCUGUUCCAUGUUGCUUUGGGGAUCCCUGA